AUUGAACGCUGGCGGCAUGCCUUACACAUGCAAGUCGAACGGCAGCACGGGUGCUUGCACCUGGUGGCGAGUGGCGAACGGGUGAGUAAUAUAUCGGAACGUACCUUAUUGUGGGGGAUAACGCAGCGAAAGCUGUGCUAAUACCGCAUAAUCCCUAAGGGGGAAAGCGGGGGACCGUAAGGCCUCGCGCAAUUAGAGCGGCCGAUACCUGAUUAGCUAGUUGGUGAGAUAAAGGCUCACCAAGGCAACGAUCAGUAGCUGGCCUGAGAGGACGAUCAGCCACACUGGGACUGAGACACGGCCCAGACUCCUACGGGAGGCAGCAGUGGGGAAUUUUGGACAAUGGGGGCAACCCUGAUUCAGCAAUGCCGCGUGAGUGAAGAAGGCCUUCGGGUUGUAAAGCUCUUUUGUCAGGGAAGAAACAGCAGCUCUAACACAGUUUGCGAAUGACGGUACCUGAAGAAUAAGCACCGGCUAACUACGUGCCAGCCGCCGCCGUAA
RNAcentral lists this ribosomal RNA (501 nucleotides) under uncultured bacterium. RNAcentral's name for it is "partial 16S ribosomal RNA". It matches the Rfam family "Bacterial small subunit ribosomal RNA", at positions 30 to 523 of the family's 1533-position model. The record is from RNAcentral.